Molecule: transfer RNA, 80 nt
Filed under: Enterobacter cloacae
Lineage: Bacteria; Pseudomonadati; Pseudomonadota; Gammaproteobacteria; Enterobacterales; Enterobacteriaceae
Also listed under: 10 other names
Description: tRNA-Tyr
Rfam family: tRNA
About the family: Transfer RNA (tRNA) molecules are approximately 80 nucleotides in length. Their secondary structure includes four short double-helical elements and three loops (D, anti-codon, and T loops).
Source: RNAcentral
GGUUCCCGAGCGGCCAAAGGGAGCAGACUGUAAAUCUGCCGUCAUCGACUUCGAAGGUUCGAAUCCUUCCCCCACCACCA